RNAcentral lists this ribosomal RNA (506 nucleotides) under uncultured bacterium. Its description in RNAcentral is "bacterial SSU rRNA". It matches the Rfam family "Bacterial small subunit ribosomal RNA", at positions 28 to 512 of the family's 1533-position model. The record is from RNAcentral.
GAUGAACGCUGGCGGCGUGCCUCAAACAUGCAAGUCGAGCGAGGCUAUGAGUUACCGCAAGGUAAGGCAUAGCCUAGCGGCGAAACGGGUGAGUAACACGUGGGUAACCUACCUGGAAGACAGGGAUAACGAUUCGAAAGGGUCGCUAAUACCUGAUAAUAUCCAUCUGCCGGAUGGCGGAGGGAAGAAAGGGGAAACCCGCUUUCAGAUGGGCCCGCGUCCCAUCAGCUAGUUGGUAAGGUAAAGGCUUACCAAGGCGACGACGGGUAGCCGGUCUGAGAGGAUGUACGGCCACACUGGGACUGAGAUACGGCCCAGACUCCUACGGGAGGCAGCAGUUGGGAAUCUUAGGCAAUGGACGAAAGUCUGACCUAGCGACGCCGCGUGAGGGAAGAAGGCCUUCGGGUGUAAGUUCGUUUUAUAUGUGAGCAGUGCUUCUUAUAUUAACAGUAUGGGUAGAGAGAUAUAGUCAUAUAAUAAGAGAACGGACUAACUCCCGUGCCAGA